GGUUGAUCCUGCCAGUAGUCAUAUGCUUGUCUCAAAGAUUAAGCCAUGCAUGUCUAAGUAUAAGCCCUUGUACGGCGAAACUGCGAAUGGCUCAUUAAAACAGUUAUCGUUCAUUUGGUAAUCAUCUACUACAAGGAUAACUGUAGUAAUUCUAGAGCUAAUACUUGCGAAAACUCUGACUUCACGGAAGGAGUGGCAUUUAUUAGAUACAAACCAAUCGGAAGUUUACUUCCGUAUCUUGGUGAUUCAUAAUAACUAAGCGGAUCGCAUGGGUAACCCCGGCGAUAGGCCUU
Molecule: ribosomal RNA, 293 nt
Filed under: uncultured eukaryote
Lineage: Eukaryota
Description: partial 18S ribosomal RNA
Rfam family: Eukaryotic small subunit ribosomal RNA
Source: RNAcentral